AACGAACCGUGCGAAAGUUAUUCGGAAUCACUGGGCUUAAAGCGCGUGUAGGCGGGACGGCACGUCGGUUGCUGAAAUCCCCCGGCUCAACCGGGGAACGGGCAGCGAUACGACCGUCCUGGAGGGGGGUAGGGGGAGCUGGAACUUCCGGUGGAGCGGUGAAAUGCGUUGAGAUCGGAAGGAACGCCCGUGGCGAAAGCGAGCUCCUGGACCCUUACUGACGCUGAGACGCGAAAGCCAGGGGAGCGAACGG
This 253-nucleotide ribosomal RNA is filed under the name uncultured bacterium. RNAcentral's name for it is "partial 16S ribosomal RNA". It matches the Rfam family "Bacterial small subunit ribosomal RNA", at positions 524 to 775 of the family's 1533-position model. The record is from RNAcentral.